RNA transcript from Octopus bimaculoides (California two-spot octopus), 1947 nucleotides. RefSeq lists it as uncharacterized. Lineage: Eukaryota; Metazoa; Mollusca; Cephalopoda; Octopoda; Octopodidae. The record is from RefSeq and is a predicted model, not a curated record.
UGGGCAACGAAAUAUUCGGUUGUUGUAAUAGCUAGUUCUGUUUGGAAAUAUGAAACUGCCAAUCAACGCAUGACAAUAUUAUUUCGAGAGACCACGUGCUUGAUAUAAAUAGUUAUAAUUUUUAAAAUGUUUAAUACACAAUCGCUUGUCCGAGAAACAGGAACAUUUUGUCGGACUAACGAUUUUUCCACUAUUCAGACUUAUCUUUAUAUGCCUAGUACUUAUUCUGUCUGUCUCUUUGCCGAAACGCUAAGUUACGGAGGUCAUCAACACACUAGCAUCGGUUGUCAAGCGAGGCGAGGGGACAAACACAGACAGACACACACACACACAUAUACGAUGAACUUUUUUCACUUUUCGUCUACCAAAUCCACUCACAGGGCUUUGGCUGACCCGAGGCUCUAGUAGAAGACACUUGCCCAAGAUGCCACGCAGUGGGAUUGAACCCAGAACCAUGUGGUUAGGAAGCAAAUUUCUCACCACACAACCAUGCCUCUGCCUAUAAACUAUAAAUUUCUCUGUGAGCAUAAAACGAAGUCACUUGUUCUCGAUAAAUCUACAAAUAGUCAGAGCAAUUCCAAUAUUUUGCAUGCCACGGAGAUGCAUAAACGUUUGAUUAUAUUACACAGCGAAGCUUAUAACUUCAAAAUAUUAAGUAUACUGCCAUAAACCUAACUCUAAUCCUAACGCCCAAACGAGUGUGCACUGUAAAAACAUAUCGUUACGUAGAUGCAUCGGGACCUCUGUAUCAAAGUAGUGCCCGAACUUUUUUCAUAAUGUAAAACAAUUUAUACGAAACUAUUAAUUUCUUCAUAGAAUUAGUUUCGUAUAAAGCCAAUAUUAUUGUUUACGUUCUUUGCCAUGUCACGCGGUAAACGACGAAGUCGAAAAAUGAUAUGUACUGACAUCGUUGACGACGAAAACAUUAGGCAAGAGUCUUGGACAUUUUCUGAUCUUUUUCAACAAACUUCCACAAAUGAUAUAGUAGUUACAUGGUUAGCAAAAUAUAAGCUCAUAAGCAAUUCUUUUAUGUGUCUCAUUUGUAACAGCCCAUGUACAUUUGUAAACCAGAAAGAUAUUAUCGAUGGAAAACGAUGGAGAUGUCGAAAACAUAACUUCGUCCGAUCGAUCCGCAAAGGGUCUUUUUUUGAGAAUAGUCAUCUCUCGCUGGCAACAUUCUUAUGGCUUAUGUAUAUGUGGUCAAGAGAUUAUCUACAUAAUGAAAUUACUCAUGAGACGAAUGUUUGUACAAAGUCAACUAUUGAUCUAUUUCGGCUCAUCCGAGAACUACUAGAGCGGUUUCUGGAAGACCAUCCCACAGAAUUAGAUGACCCACCUGAAAUUGGCGGCUUCGAUUUACAGACAGGUGAACCAAGAGUUGUUGAAAUUGAUGUAACCACAUUUCGCAGAUGUAAACCGAACAAGAAACAUUUGAAAGGAUUCUGUGUUUUUGGUGGAAUUGAACGUGGCACUGACAGAUGUUUCUUGGUACCUAUUGAGCAUGAAAAUAAAGAAGCUUUCGAAGCUGCAAUUAUCCGAUGGAUUUUACCAGAAUCAACUUUGAAGAAGAAAUAAGAAAACAUUUAUUUAUGUACACUGCUCUGAUGUUGACUUGUGUUCUGAAGAGGCACUCAUAUUAUAUCAGAUAUAUGGGCUGAAUAUCUUCAAAUUGACCAGAUCGAACAAGGCAUAUACACUCAUGAAUAUAUAGACUAUGAAAACCCAAAUGAUCCAGAAAUCCACACCAAAACUAUUGACGGGAUGUGGCAGAGAGUUAAACAACAAUUGCAACGUAAACAUUCGAUAAAUAAUAAAGCUUUAUUUCACUCAUAUUUAACAGAAUUUAUGUGGAGAUCUCAUUUUAAGAAUAAUGAUAAAUUUGCUGCUCUCAUUUAUUGUAUCAAACAUUUGUAUAAAGUCUAAUAAAUUUGAUUUUAUAUUUUUGUA